Molecule: ribosomal RNA, 491 nt
Filed under: uncultured bacterium
Lineage: Bacteria
Description: partial 16S ribosomal RNA
Rfam family: Bacterial small subunit ribosomal RNA
Source: RNAcentral
AGUGAACGCUGGCGGUAGGCCUAACACAUGCAAGUCGAACGGCAGCACAGUAAGAGCUUGCUCUUACGGGUGGCGAGUGGCGGACGGGUGAGGAAUACAUCGGAAUCUACUUUUUCGUGGGGGAUAACGUAGGGAAACUUACGCUAAUACCGCAUACGACCUACGGGUGAAAGCAGGGGAUCUUCGGACCUUGCGCGAUUGAAUGAGCCGAUGUCGGAUUAGCUAGUUGGCGGGGUAAAGGCCCACCAAGGCGACGAUCCGUAGCUGGUCUGAGAGGAUGAUCAGCCACGCUGGAACUGAGACACGGUCCAGAAUCCUACGGGAGGCAGCAGUGGGGAAUAUUGGACAAUGGGCGCAAGCCUGAUCCAGCCAUAACGCGUGGGUGAAGAAGGCCUUCGGGUUGUAAAGCCCUUUUGUUGGGAAAGAAAAGCAGCAGGUUAAUACCCCGCUGUUCUGACGGUACCCAAAGAAUAAGCACCGGCUAACUUCGU